UACGAAGGGAGCUAUCGUUGUUCGGAAUCACUGGGCGUAAAGCGCACGUAGGCGGGCUUGUAAGUCAGGGGUGAAAUCCCGGGGCUCAACCUCGGAACUGCCUCUGAUACUGCAAGUCUCGAGUCCGGAAGAGGUGGGUGGAAUUCCUAGUGUAGAGGUGAAAUUCGUAGAUAUUAGGAAGAACACCGGUGGCGAAGGCGGCCCACUGGUCCGGUACUGACGCUGAGGUGCGAAAGCGUGGGGAGCAAACAGG
Molecule: ribosomal RNA, 253 nt
Filed under: uncultured bacterium
Lineage: Bacteria
Description: partial 16S ribosomal RNA
Rfam family: Bacterial small subunit ribosomal RNA
Source: RNAcentral